UACGGAGGGGGCUAGCGUUGUUCGGAAUUACUGGGCGUAAAGCGCACGUAGGCGGAUCAGUCAGUUAGGGGUGAAAUCCCAGGGCUCAACCCUGGAACUGCCUUUAAUACUGCUGGUCUGGAGUCCGAGAGAGGUGAGUGGAAUUCCGAGUGUAGAGGUGAAAUUCGUAGAUAUUAGGAAGAACACCAGUGGCGAAGGCGGCUCACUGGUCCGGUACUGACGCUGAGGUGCGAAAGCGUGGGGAGCAAACAGGG
This 254-nucleotide ribosomal RNA is filed under the name uncultured bacterium. Its description in RNAcentral is "partial 16S ribosomal RNA". It matches the Rfam family "Bacterial small subunit ribosomal RNA", at positions 524 to 777 of the family's 1533-position model. The record is from RNAcentral.